UUGGCCUCCGUGCGGUAUCCCACAGUGCACCAUUGUGACCGCUCUGGAAAGCAAUCUGAACUCGGAUGCACUGGCAGGUAGGCAGGAAAAGCCUCGAGUACUUUUGAAUUUCAUU
Non-coding RNA from Chelonoidis abingdonii (Abingdon island giant tortoise), 115 nucleotides. The record is from RefSeq and is a predicted model, not a curated record. NCBI's taxonomy places the organism in Eukaryota, Metazoa, Chordata, Testudines, Testudinidae.